GCGGCGUGCUUAACACAUGCAAGUCGAACGGAAAGGCCCUGCUUUUGUGGGGUGCUCGAGUGGCGAACGGGUGAGUAACACGUGAGUAACCUGCCCUUGACUUUGGGAUAACUUCAGGAAACUGGGGCUAAUACCGGAUAGGAGCUCCUGCUGCAUGGUGGGGGUUGGAAAGUUUCGGCGGUUGGGGAUGGACUCGCGGCUUAUCAGCUUGUUGGUGGGGUAGUGGCUUACCAAGGCUUUGACGGGUAGCCGGCCUGAGAGGGUGACCGGCCACAUUGGGACUGAGAUACGGCCCAGACUCCUACGGGAGGCAGCAGUGGGGAAUAUUGCACAAUGGGCGGAAGCCUGAUGCAGCAACGCCGCGUGCGGGAUGACGGCCUUCGGGUUGUAAACCGCUUUCGCCUGUGACGAAGCGUGAGUGACGGUGAUGGGUAAAGAAGCACCGGCUAACUACGCGCCAGCAGCCGCGGUGAUACAUAGGGUGCGAGCGUUGUCCGGAUUUAUUGGGCGUAAAGGGCUCGUAGGUGGUUGAUCGCGUCGGAAGUGUAAUCUUGGGGCUUAACCCUGAGCGUGCUUUCGAUACGGGUUGACUUGAGGAAGGUAGGGGAGAAUGGAAUUCCUGGUGGAGCGGUGGAAUGCGCAGAUAUCAGGAGGAACACCAGUGGCGAAGGCGGUUCUCUGGGCCUUUCCUGACGCUGAGGAGCGAAAGCGUGGGGAGCGAACAGGCUUAGAUACCCUGGUAGUCCACGCUGUAAACGGUGGGUACUAGGUGUGGGGUCCAUUCCACGGGUUCCGUGCCGUAGCUAACGCUUUAAGUACCCCGCCUGGGGAGUACGGCCGCAAGGCUAAAACUCAAAGGAAUUGACGGGGCCCCGCACAAGCGGCGGAGCAUGCGGAUUAAUUCGAUGCAACGCGUAGAACCUUACCUGGGUUUGACAUGGAUCGGGAGUGCUCAGAGAUGGGUGUGCCUCUUUUGGGGUCGGUUCACAGGUGGUGCAUGGCUGUCGUCAGCUCGUGUCGUGAGAUGUUGGGUUAAGUCCCGCAACGAGCGCAACCCUUGUUUACUGUUGCCAGCACGUUAUGGUGGGGACUCAGUGGAGACCGCCGGGGUCAACUCGGAGGAAGGUGGGGAUGACGUCAAGUCAUCAUGCCCCUUAUGUCCAGGGCUUCACGCAUGCUACAAUGGCUGGUACAGAGAGUGGCGAGCCUGUGAGGGUGAGCGAAUCUCGGAAAGCCGGUCUCAGUUCGGAUUGGGGUCUGCAACUCGACCUCAUGAAGUCGGAGUCGCUAGUAAUCGCAGAUCAGCAACGCUGCGGUGAAUACGUUCCCGGGGCUUGUACACACCGCCCGUCAAGUCAUGAAAGUUGGUAACACCCGAAGCCGGUGGCCUAACCGUUGUGGGGGAGCCGUCGAAGGUGGGACUGGUGAUUAGGACUAA
RNAcentral lists this ribosomal RNA (1438 nucleotides) under uncultured organism. RNAcentral's name for it is "16S ribosomal RNA". It matches the Rfam family "Bacterial small subunit ribosomal RNA". The record is from RNAcentral.